RNAcentral lists this ribosomal RNA (289 nucleotides) under Blastocystis hominis. Its description in RNAcentral is "partial 18S ribosomal RNA". It matches the Rfam family "Eukaryotic small subunit ribosomal RNA", at positions 42 to 348 of the family's 1831-position model. The record is from RNAcentral. Lineage: Eukaryota; Bigyra; Opalinata; Blastocystidae.
GAUUAAGCCAUGCAUGUGUAAGUGUAAAUAUCAAACUUUGAAACUGCGAAUGGCUCAUUAUAUCAGUUAUAGUUUAUUUGAUGAAGAAUACUAAUUGGAUAACCGUAGUAAUUCUAGAGCUAAUACAUGUAUAAAGUCUUGUAGACUGCAUUUAUUAGAAUGAAAACCAUAGGUUUCGGCCUAUUCGUGAGUAAUAAUAACUAAUCAUAUCGUAUGCUUAUGUAACGAUGUGUCUUUCAAGUUCUGCCCUAUCAGCUUCGAUUCGAUGGUAGUGUAUUGGACUACCAUG